GGCGCGGUGGCGGAAUGGUUACGCGGAAGUCUGCAAAACUUUAUAAGCCGGUUCGAUUCCGGUCCGUGCCUCCA
This 74-nucleotide transfer RNA is filed under the name Candidatus Saccharimonadota bacterium. Its description in RNAcentral is "tRNA-Cys". It matches the Rfam family "tRNA". From Rfam's summary of the family: Transfer RNA (tRNA) molecules are approximately 80 nucleotides in length. Their secondary structure includes four short double-helical elements and three loops (D, anti-codon, and T loops). Further hydrogen bonds mediate the characteristic L-shaped molecular structure. tRNAs have two regions of fundamental functional importance: the anti-codon, which is responsible for specific mRNA codon recognition, and the 3' end, to which the tRNAs corresponding amino acid is attached (by aminoacyl-tRNA synthetases). tRNAs cope with the degeneracy of the genetic code in two manners: having more than one tRNA (with a specific anti-codon) for a particular amino acid; and 'wobble' base-pairing, i.e. permitting non-standard base-pairing at the 3rd anti-codon position. The record is from RNAcentral. Lineage: Bacteria; Candidatus Saccharimonadota. RNAcentral also lists the same sequence under 1 other name.